RNAcentral lists this non-coding RNA (95 nucleotides) under Novacetimonas hansenii. Its description in RNAcentral is "Gluconacetobacter hansenii TPP sequence". It matches the Rfam family "TPP riboswitch aptamer (THI element)". From Rfam's summary of the family: Vitamin B(1) in its active form thiamin pyrophosphate (TPP) is an essential coenzyme that is synthesised by coupling of pyrimidine and thiazole moieties in bacteria. The previously detected thiamin-regulatory element, thi box was extended, resulting in a new, highly conserved RNA secondary structure, the THI element, which is widely distributed in eubacteria and also occurs in some archaea. Lineage: Bacteria; Pseudomonadati; Pseudomonadota; Alphaproteobacteria; Acetobacterales; Acetobacteraceae. The record is from RNAcentral.
CUGCAUCAACCGGGGUGUCCGCGAUGCGGGCUGAGAUCACACCCGUUGAACCUGACCUGGGUCAUGCCAGCGUAGGGAGAAAAACGGCAUGCCGG